UUACAGCUGAUGACUGUUAAAAACUCGUUUGUGUUUGAAGCCAAUGUUGAUUAGUGUUUCUGUGGAUUUAUGCUGCAGGUUGCUUGUGGUGGAUGUCACAUGGUAGUUUUUGCUGCUCCUCAUCGUAGUGUGGCAAAAGAAAUUGAAUUCGAUGAAAUAAGUGAUACUUGCUUAUCUGUGGUGACUUUUCUGCCGUAUGGCAGUUUAACCUCAGGAAAUGUACUGCAGAGAACUCUAUCAGCACGUAUGCGGCGAAGAGAGGGAGAGGUCUCCAGAUUCGGUUUCAGUGAUGAGAACACUACCUCCAAUAGCAGGGGCUCUUGGCCUUUCUGCUUGUUUUCCCCCCAGUUUGGUCUUUCCACGUUGUUCUGAGAGUAACCUAGAGAGCGUCUUAUCUGAACAGGACCUCAUGCACCCAGGGGAACCAGGUAACAUUUGCUACUCUGUCUGCUCUCAGGGUAAAUGUGCCUUUUACUCCUGUUGUUUUUAUGUUUAUCUUAAGAUGUUUUCUCCAGUUAUAUAAAUUGUUCUCUCCCUGGUUAGAGCCUAACAUCCCUCAUUUGAACUCAACUCCAGGAAUAUCCUUACAAAUAGAACGCAUCAUCAGUGCCCCAAGACUGCCAUGUAACCACAGCAGCAUAUCUUUAUAGAGCAGUGGGUAACAGUCAUACUACCUUCCUUAACUGUAUCCCCUUUAAACCCUGAAACCACUCGAUGAACUUAGGAGGGAGUUACAGUCCUCAUUUCAGAGAGGAGAAAAGCAAGACUUGAAGAGAUCAAGUGACUUGCUCAAGGUCACUCAGCUUAUAAAUGAAGUGGUCAGAAUUUGAAUGCAGGUCUUCUGGAUCUAUGUGAAAUUCUAUAUUUAGGCAGUAUAACGUAAUGGUUAAGAGCAUGGAAUAUGGAGUUAAAUUGAUCUGGGGUCAAAUGCCAGUUUUGACAUUUACUAGCUGUGUGACUGACUUUGGGAAAGUUACUUAACCUCUCUAAGCCUCAGUUUCCUUGUCUUUGAAAUUGAUUUAAUAAUACUGACUUCAGAGAGUGAUUGAGAGGAUUCAGUGAGUUCAGGCAUAUAAAAUAAUUAGCAUUGAGCCCAGCACCUCUAGAAACACCUCAGUAAAUGUUGUUAUGAUUAAUGUUAAUACCUUUACCUCACUACCUGUUAGAUACAGAUUUCAUGUUUUAAGUUGUAAUCCCAGCUCUUUCACUAUUCUAUACCUAUUCUAAGUAAUUUUCUUUACAGAUAUUUGUGUAUCUUAGGAGUGUCUGUAUGUUACUGCAGGAUGUCUAAAGAGGGAAUAUUCUCUCUUAAUUCAAUUUAGGGAUUCUCAUGUGUUUUAAAAUUAUUGUUCCAAUGACACAUAUAUUUUUUAAAGUAAAUGGCAAAUAAUUUUUGAAGGAGACAUUCCUUUUCUAAAAAUUACUGUAAGUUUCAAAACAUAUAAUUUUUUUGACGAUUCAUAGCAGUUUUAUUUGUAAUAGCCAACAUAUUUCUCUAUUUGAUAGGGGUAAGACAAGAAACCAGGACUAGGAGAUCAGAAAGUAAGCAGUAGAUUUGAAAUGAAGAAGAUAAACCUGUCAUCAGGGACUAAGAAUCAGGGUCUAGGAACAGAUAAUUUGUGUAUCUUUGAGAUCCGGAAGCUAGGCAAAGGGUUGAGGUAAUAUAGGAUUGGGAACUCAGGUAAGAACUGUGGGCUGUGGGAAUGGGAUAUUAUAUCUAACUAGGACCUUGGUAAUGAGCUGAUUUAUUGCACCUGACCCACAACUUUUGUAUGUUUUCUUUUGAAAUAAGAAUCAGUGUCUAAUGGUACUCUUCAGCCCUGGACAUGGAAAAAGUAGUAGAUUCUGACAAGCAGUAUGUAGUGUGUACAAGGAAAAAGACAUUUAUGGUUUAGAGAAAAUUGUUUCUCAGUCCCAGAGAUUUGAAUGUGAAAAUAUGCAUGAUUUUGUAGCUAGAUCAAAAGGAAAUGCCAUCUCUUCUUGUCUUCUUGUGACUGCUAACACUCUCUUCUUAAUAAAACUUAUUUUGAAAAUUGUGUCUAACAUAUACUGUGACAUUUUCUAAAUCAUUCACAGACUUCAGUCUUUAUAAUGGAGGAAAAGUAUAUCAGGAUACAUCUUACUAAGGAGGUGUCAUUUAAGCUAAAGGAUAAGAAAGGGAUGGCUACACAAGGAGAAUAGAUGUAUUUCAGGCAAAGAAAAUAAUAUAGGCAAAGGUUUGGAGGCAGUUAAGAAGAAAAAGACAACCAGUAGGGCUAGAAAGUGAGGGAAAGGGUAAGACAAAGCAGUAUUGGAGAAAGAGACAGUGAAAAAUUAUUUAUGGUUUUAUAGGCCAUGAGGACCUACUUGAUACGAAUGUUUUUCUUAAGUGCAAUAGAAAGUCAUUAAAAGAUUUUAAGCAGUAGACUAAUGUGUUCCAAUCCUAUUUCCACUUUAAGAUGAUUAUGAUCACUUCUACCUCCAUAUAGAUUAUGCAGAGGCCAGACUAGAAAUAGGAAGAGUACUUGUGAGCCCUUUGCAAGAGAUGAUAGUGUAUGGACCAAGGUGUUUGCAGCGUAGAUGGAGAAAAGAAAAGAGAAGAGGGACGAUGUGAAAUACAUUAUAGACAUAAAACCAACCGGACUUGCUAAACUUAUUAAUGCACCACACAUAGGUGUGAAUUAAAGUGAGGAAUCAAGGAUGAUUCCUAAGCAAGAGGAAGCUUGACACGUUUGAGGAAUAAAAUUAAGAACCAAGCCUUGGAUAUCUGUGAGGCAUCCAAGUAGAAAUAUCAAGCUGAUUGUUGAAACACAAGCCUAAAGUUUAGAAGAGAGCCCUGGACUAGAAAUAUAAAUUUGGAAGCCAUCAGCAUAGAGAUGGUAUUUAAAAGAGAUGGGCAUGGUAACUUAUGCCUAUAAUCCCAGUAUUUUGAGAGGCUGAGGUGGGAGGAUUGCUUGAAGUUAGGAGUUUGAGUCCAGCCUGGGCAACACAGCAAGACCCCUCUCUCUAUUUAAAAUAAUAAUAAAAUCCAUGGAUGUUGGUGAAAUCACCUGCUAGAGAGUCGAGUCAGAAGAGGGCCCAGAAUGUAGCCCUAAGAACAUCUAACAUUUGAGAGGUAGAGAAGGAAGAGCCGGCAAAGAAGCCUUCGUCAGCUUUGUCAGCCAGUAAGGCAGGAGGUGGGAAAUUAGGACAGUGUAGUGUCGUGAAUGCAAAGUACUGCUCAAAGAUCAAGGGAAGAUAGCUCAAAGAAGUAUCCAGUGGAUUUGGUAUA
Rhinopithecus bieti (black snub-nosed monkey) is the source of this 3250-nucleotide long non-coding RNA. NCBI's taxonomy places the organism in Eukaryota, Metazoa, Chordata, Mammalia, Primates, Cercopithecidae. The record is from Ensembl.